AUUCCGAGCUGUUCUUUUGGUACUGGUUCUUUACUGACCGCUAGAUGCCACUGACUUCAAUUGAUUUUGUCAUUGAGUACAGACUGCAUCAUAAAACAUGGCGAAACAAAUUGUUGCUAUUUUAUACUUAUUUUUCUGUGAUUCCAAAUACCGAAUUGAACUUCGUUUGUGUAGGGUUAUAUUGACCUAGUUUCCCUAUUUUGAUACGUAUAUUACAUCCAUUUCUUCAAAUCAUAGAAAGUCUGUCAGUCAUUCCAACAAGUUGACUUAGUGCUCAGUCGCUUUCCAUCCAUUGGAUCCUUAUGCUGUCAAAAGCCUGAAACUCACAUUUGAAGCCCACAUACAGUGCAACUAGACAAAUGUGCCAAGAUAAGGUAUUCUUUCUCAUGGACCAUAGGAUCUUUUCCGAAUCUUGUGAUUUUGAUAGUGUAACCUGUGACUGCAUAUUUGUUAUUACGACCGCUUCUACAUCCAUUUAGAAGGCAACCCAGCUGAGAGAUAGAGUUCCAGUUUCAGUGACAUGAAGAGUGUGAAGUGAAUAGUCUGCCAUGCACUUGUACAUUUACCAGAUCUGCUUGAUGAAAGUGAAAUGCCUUACUAAAUUCAUCACCCGUAUGAUAAGCAUCAGGAAAUUUAUCUCAACAUAUGGAUUAUUGCUGUUGGUUGCUAUGGAUUCCAAUUUUACGGUUUUUUCAUCAUGAACAUUUCAGUGUGCUUCUUAGAAAAAAGCUCGCGCAGUUUCUUUAUGGUAUCGAGUGGUCCUGGCACGG
Molecule: long non-coding RNA, 770 nt
Organism: Daphnia pulex (common water flea)
Lineage: Eukaryota; Metazoa; Arthropoda; Branchiopoda; Diplostraca; Daphniidae
Exons: 5
Source: RefSeq, a predicted model, not a curated record